UGCUGAUUUGACUAGUUCCGAUUUAACAAGGUGCCGAUUUGAACAGGUGCCGAUUUGACUUGAAGUUGUACCCAUUAUAAAUUGCCUUCCGACAGAAUUUCGGCUGUAAAAUCUCGUCUCUGUCCACAUUUCAGUCCUAACCUUUUGAAAUGUGAUGAAACAUCCCCCUGGCAAUCAAAUAACUCUACUAAAUGUGUGCCAUGAAGAUGUAAACAUAAAACAUAAAUUGAUAAUGUUACAGACAGCAUCCAUGUUGU
Molecule: long non-coding RNA, 257 nt
Filed under: Mytilus galloprovincialis (Mediterranean mussel)
Lineage: Eukaryota; Metazoa; Mollusca; Bivalvia; Mytilida; Mytilidae
Source: RNAcentral